Molecule: non-coding RNA, 76 nt
Organism: Pelobates cultripes (western spadefoot toad)
Lineage: Eukaryota; Metazoa; Chordata; Amphibia; Anura; Pelobatidae
Source: the annotation of a GenBank genome assembly
AUCAACGAUUCAGCUCCCUUACAGGGCUUUCAUCAGGAUACUGAUGAAAGCUCUGUAAGGGAGCUGAAACAUUGAU